RNAcentral lists this long non-coding RNA (308 nucleotides) under Fukomys damarensis (Damara mole-rat). RNAcentral describes it as "lncRNA (ENSFDAG00000026321.1)". The record is from RNAcentral. Lineage: Eukaryota; Metazoa; Chordata; Mammalia; Rodentia; Bathyergidae.
AAGAACUUAAAGAGGAAGCUACCCAGUCGUGCAAUGAGACAGCAGUAUGGGACACUGGCUUCCUGUGCUCCUUGUCAUGCAUCAUGAGGUAGACAAGCUGAAGGUGAAGGUCAUGACCUUCAUGAGGUUAAGGGGCAAGGGUGCAUCAUGGUGCUACGACCCUUGACUGUCCACCUGGGACUUACUCCAGAGACCUGGGGAGAGAACACAAUGUUAAAGGCUCAACAUGUGGAAAACGCCUUUCAAGUACUCCUUACCAACAGAGCCAAAUAUAUAUUAAACCUAUGUACCAUCACCUGAAAAUCCUG